This 540-nucleotide ribosomal RNA is filed under the name uncultured soil bacterium. RNAcentral describes it as "bacterial SSU rRNA". It matches the Rfam family "Bacterial small subunit ribosomal RNA", at positions 67 to 596 of the family's 1533-position model. The record is from RNAcentral.
CGCUGAUUUGUGGGUAGCAAUAUUCGCAAGUUGGAGUGGCGCAAGGGUGUGUAACACGUGGGUAAUCUGCCAUGAAGUCUGGGAUAACUUGCUGAAAGGCGAGCUAAUACCGGAUGUGAACGCAAGUUCAAAGUUGGGGACCGUAAGGCCUGACGCUUCAUGAUGAGCCCGCGGCCUAUCAGCUAGUUGGUGAGGUAACGGCUCACCAAGGCUAAGACGGGUAGCUGGUCUGAGAGGACGACCAGCCACACUGGAACUGAGACACGGUCCAGACACCUACGGGUGGCAGCAGUCGAGAAUUUUUCUCAAUGGGCGAAAGCCUGAAGGAGCGACGCCGCGUGGGGGAUGAAUGGCUUCGGCCCGUAAACCCCUGUCAUUUGUGAACAAAUUGUUUCACCUAACACGUGAAAUAUUGAUUGUAACGGAAGAGGAAGGGACGGCUAACUCUGUGCCAGCAGCCGCGGUAAUACAGAGGUCCCAAGCGUUGUUCGGAUUCACUGGGCGUAAAGGGUGCGUAGGUGGCCAAGUAAGUUUGAUGUG